Molecule: ribosomal RNA, 404 nt
Filed under: uncultured bacterium
Lineage: Bacteria
Description: partial 16S ribosomal RNA
Rfam family: Bacterial small subunit ribosomal RNA
Source: RNAcentral
AUUGAACGCUGGCGGCGUGCUUAACACAUGCAAGUCGAGCGGAGCGGCGAACGGGUGAGUAACGCGUGAGUAACUGCCCCCCUCCCUGGGAUAACAGUUGGAAACGGCUGCUAAUACCGGAUAGUGGGGGAUGACUCGCGUCUUAUCAGCUUGUUGGUGGGGUAGCGGCCUACCAAGGCGACGACUGGUAGCCGGCCUGAGGAGGCAACAGGCCACAUUGGGCUAGGAGACGGACCAAAGUCCUACGGGAGGCAGCAGUGGGGAAUAUUGCACAAUGGGGGAAACCCUGAUGCAGCAACGCGCGUGCGGGAUGACGGCCUUCGGGUUGUAAACCGCUUUCAGCCAUGACGCGGUAGUGGCAGAAGAAGCACCGGCUAACUCCGUGCCAGCAGCCGCGGUAAUAC